AUUGAACGCUGGCGGCAUGCUUUACACAUGCAAGUCGAACGGGCUUGGGGGCUUGCUCCCAAGUUAGUGGCGAACGGGUGAGUAAUACAUCGGAACGUACCGUGUAGUGGGGGAUAACGUAGCGAAAGUUACGCUAAUACCGCAUACGAUCUACGGAUGAAAGCAGGGGACCUUCGGGCCUUGUGCUAUACGAGCGGCCGAUGUCUGAUUAGCUAGUUGGUGAGGUAAAGGCUCACCAAGGCGACGAUCAGUAGCGGGUCUGAGAGGAUGAUCCGCCACACUGGGACUGAGACACGGCCCAGACUCCUACGGGAGGCAGCAGUGGGGAAUUUUGGACAAUGGGCGAAAGCCUGAUCCAGCCAUGCCGCGUGUCUGAAGAAGGCCUCGGUUGUAAGGAC
This 398-nucleotide ribosomal RNA is filed under the name uncultured bacterium. RNAcentral's name for it is "bacterial SSU rRNA". It matches the Rfam family "Bacterial small subunit ribosomal RNA", at positions 30 to 433 of the family's 1533-position model. The record is from RNAcentral.